This 210-nucleotide ribosomal RNA is filed under the name uncultured bacterium. RNAcentral's name for it is "partial 16S ribosomal RNA". It matches the Rfam family "Bacterial small subunit ribosomal RNA", at positions 584 to 793 of the family's 1533-position model. The record is from RNAcentral.
CAAGUCAGAAGUGAAAGGCUAUGGCUCAACCAUAGUAAGCUUUUGUAAACUGUUAAACUUGAGUGCAGGAGAGGAAGUGGAAUUCCUAGUGUAGAGGUGAAAUUCGUAGAUAUUAGGAGGAACACCAGUGGCGAAGGCGACUUUCUGGACUGUAACUGACGCUGAGGCACGAAAGCGUGGGGAGCGAACAGGAUUAGAUACCCCUGGUAG